This is a long non-coding RNA of Capra hircus (goat), 7103 nucleotides long. RefSeq lists it as uncharacterized. The record is from RefSeq and is a predicted model, not a curated record. The transcript has 2 exons. Lineage: Eukaryota; Metazoa; Chordata; Mammalia; Artiodactyla; Bovidae.
UUUUUUUUUUUUUUUUUGCCGUGCUUUGGAUCUGAGAUGUCAAAGUACUUCACAAACAAAUAACUGGAAACAGUUUGGGGUGAAGGCUCUUUAUAACUGAGAGCAGGGCCCACAGAGGAAGCGAUUCGCCCAAGGUCAUGGGCUGAAUCGGAGGGACAGCUGGAAAGAGUAGGCAUGAAUACUGGCUCCCACAGUCAGAGCUCAUGUCCACUAGUCUACGCCUUCCCACACACGCCAAAACAAGCCCCCAAAGUCGGGAGACAGCAGCAGACCAGAGAAGUCACAUGCCCUCCAACGCCUAAGUUGUCCAUGCUGACAAUUUGCUGUACAGAAUGGAAGCUGGGUGUGCAGGUCAAAGGUCUUUACAGACUGCUGUUGGGCUAAAGCCAGGAAAAGGAGUUGCUAGUGAAAAUGUAUAGGGUUCUAUGCUUGUUUGGGGCAGCCUGGCUUUCCACCUGAGCUCCUGAGUGUAUUCAUCAGAUUCUUCAAGCUGUCAGCCUUCCAGGAGGGCCUGAUGGCUCACAUAGCCCUUGUUCUCAGCCCACCUGGCAGGUCUCAUCUUUCUCUGGUCGGUUCCCUCCAGAACCUGGUCUGUGUACCCAGGGUUGGCAGGGGAGAUUCAGAGGAGGAGGGGAGAAAGGGCAUGGGAGAGGGUGAAAGAGAGAGAGGAAAAGAAGAAAGUGGAAAAGAAAAAAAUAAAAAUAGAGAGAUGGGCCUGUUUUAAAACCUUUGCAGGCCCUAGGACCUCUUUGUAAGGAGGCUUUGUCCCACAAAUAUAUUAUAAUCCAAAUAUAUUACAUUCCCACACUGAAUACAAUUUAUUCACGAUUAUUUACCAGUUGAGUUUGGUUGAAGUUUGCUGGCUGAUAAUGUUAUGGCUUUGUAGAUAUUUAAUUAAACAUUUAAUAAUUUUGAUUUUACACUUUGCUUCUCUGCCUUUUAGAGCUCAUAUUUUUUCUUUCCAGGCCCUUGAAAUGUUUAUAAGACAUAGGCACUAUAUGUAUUGACCUUAAAACAGCCCAGAGGGCUAGAAGAAGGGAGAGAUGAGGGGGGAAGGGAGAGAUGAGGGGGGGAAAAACAAUGUUGAUUAAGACAGCAAGAAACAGACUCGAAACCACAUGGGGACAAAUUUCACAAAGCAGACAGAGGGAGCCCUCAAAACUACAGAACUGUUGGUUAGAAAAAAGAAAGAAUGCAAGCUUUACCAGGAUAGUUCCAGGAAAAUAAAAAGAAGAAUAGAUGAAAGACUAAUCCAACCACAGAUGAGAAAAAAAAAAAAUCUCUCUCUGAUUAUUCAAUAAUUUAUUGAACACAGGGCCAGAUACUGUGCUUGGCUUCUGAGAUACCCAGUCAGAUCAGAUACAGCCUCUACUCUCAAGGAAUUUACUGUUUUAUUGAGGGAGACAGAAAGGUAAACAAACAGCUCAGAUCUGUGAUAAGGACACAAAUUGAAGUAAGCGUGAGAGGUUAAGGCAGGCAGAUGCUCCUGGAAGGUUCAAAGGCACCGAGGUGUGACCAGGAAUGAGACGGAACCUGAGGGGAAGUUAGGUGUGGUGCGGGGGGUAGGAGGGCAAGUAGGAAAGUGGGUGUGAGAGGAGACGGAGGGUCACGGGGCGGGCUGAAAAGGAUCACACUAAAUUGAUAGCAGAUCAUGAGCACUUGGACUUAUUCUUCAGUCUAAGGUCAGCCAAGAAUGGUUUCCAAGCAGGGGAGGGGCCUCAUGCACUCCAGUUAGGGCUGAUUUGGGCUGAGGCACCGGGGAUCCAGGGAAGAGGCCAUUGCACUCCUACCAUUGGAGGAAAGGGCCUGGAGCCAGCCAGCGCCGUGGAGAUAGUGAGGUGGGUCACUUGGAGACGUAUUUAGGGGACAGUGGGCGGGGUUGGUAACCAGUUGCAAGUGGGAGAUGAGUGCAAGAGAGGACUCAAGGAUGACUCCCAGGUUUCUGGUUAUUCAUUGAGAAAGGGGAUGUAAGAGAAGGAACAGGUUUGGAGGAGAGACUUUUCAUUUCCCCCAAACCUGAUGACCCUCAGGCAGGUGCCAUGCCCCAGUAGGGCCCUUGGAAAGCGGUCAGGAAACCCCAGCAAAACUCUUUAAGAGGUGUGGCAAGCAGGGAUGCAGAGUCACUAGCAGAUUAUGAGUUUCUCUAUGGGGAUUCUUGGCCAAGACAGAAACAUGGCCCAGAGGCCAAAUGCUAGAGAUCUUUCCACUUGGCCUCAGAAGAAAGGUGCUUGAAACUAGCAGGGAUGAAGAAGGAACAUGAUGGGCACCUCUAAGACUGUUGAACGCUGGACUGGGGCUCCAGUUGUGAUUCAUAGUUGGGAAGGGUGUUUAUUGGAUGUUAGCUCAUGAAAGCUCCCAACUGUAUCUAGAAGUCUGUAUUCUCCCAGACUAGCGACGGAACCUAUGUAACAGCAUGUUGAAUUGAGACACAGACAUCUAUCAAUCGCACCAAAAUUCAUUGGCUUAAACUCCAUCACCCAGAGCUGACCCUUUGCUAUCGCAGGAAGUAAAGGGCUAGAAAUAAGUGCCAUCGGAAGCUGAGUCUAAGUAGCUCUGUGAUCAUGGACAUUUUGAGACACAGAUUCGGUGUGGGCUUUCAAACAGAUGGAUCUGCUAGCAUGAAAUUGCCAAGAGUAAAAAGAGAACGCUAGUUUAAUACACACGGCUGGGGAAGAGGCCGGGACCGGAUUCCCCAAUCCUGGCCCAGGACUUGCUCAGCAUUCACAGCAAGUAUGCAGCCCCAGAGCAAAGCAACCAUGUUUCUUUCCCCCAUUUUUGAUGUUGGCAAAGGGAAGACAAACGAGGGUUCUCUGGUUUGGGGACGGCGUGAAUGAACCACACGUGUCCAUAAAUAAACCAAGAGCCCUCCAAACACACUGCUCAUUUGUUCGCACAAAAGCCAGGCUGGCAGCCCUCUCACCGAGCCAUGUUCACAGUUGGAUCCUUAAUGCAUUGUGAGCGUUCAAUCAAACUUUUAGUGGUGAAACUCUGGGAGCAGAAAGCCAGCUAAGCCCAAAUGGUCCCUUGGCUUUUCCAUCUUUUGUGGCUGCCUGGCUGUGCUCUUAUGGGUUUUGUUGUCAACAAACUCCUGGCUUGCCUUUGAGCACUCCAAAUUAUUGAAAAUGACUACAGCUUAAGACUGGCAGGAUGAUUGUUAAAAAACAGCCCUGGCAUUAAUCAUAGCUUAAGAGCUUUUGGAAAAUGAUUCUAAUUCAGAAGGGGUGGCUUACAAAGAGGCUUGUCGAAAGCGAAGCAGGCAUCAAAUUCUGAAAGGCAAAAAAAAAAAAACCCUCCUUGGCACCCACACCUGGCUUCUUCCUGAAACCCAGCUGGCAGGAGCGUGGGGGGCACAGUUCACCCCACCAGCUCAUCCUGUCUGAGGCCACCUUGAGCCUGCCACGAGACCCACAGCAUGCUUCCCCCUGGAUGCAGGGCUGUUGAGACUGGAAAGACUUCUGGGAGCGCCCACAGUCACAAAUUUACUAGUGGUCCUCAGAAUCAGGAAGAAGUGGCUGGGCGCCUCAUAUUCUGUCAACAGUUGGAUGCCUUAGAACCAGUGCUAAAAUAAGCUGUGUGCACAGAGGCAGCUGCGUGGGCAAACACACGGUCAGCAUUUGCAAGGAGCCAGGCAGGGCAACGAGCUAAUCCUUCUGCCUCUUGCCUGCUUGGCACAACAAAGGAGAAUGAUUUUUGCCAUCAGCAUUCUCCCUAUCACGGAAUCAUUGCACAAUUUAGUAUGAUUAAUGGUUUCCAUUUAGGAGAAGCUGAGAAUGAAAACAGUGGGAGAGAGGCGGCAACCCGGCUGGGGGUGUUUGUGGCUGCACCUCAGGCGGAAGGGGGGGGCAGAGCUGGCCAAUGGCCUCUACCUUUCCUGCAGGCACGACUGGGGAGGCACUCUGGGGAGAAGAGACACAUGGCUUUGGACAUGCAUUUGCAGGAACAGUCUGAAAGCUGCAACCUUGUGACGCACUGUUUGCUGUUUCCUCCUUGCAGCCUUCCAAAUGUUUGUGUAGGAGAAGCUACUCCCUCUUGACCAGCCCAAGGGAGGGCUUUUCCUCCCAGAGGUUCCUAACUAAGGGUUGGCUCUGGGAGGCAGCGUGGUGAUGGGGCUGGAUGGCUGAAAUUCGCAGAGCUACCUAUGCCACUUCUUGGCAUUCCUGAUGGCCACGUGGGGGUGCCACGCAGGGAAGGACCCCCACCUUCACACUAGGAUGGUAGCCGUGACCUUCAACACGGCCACCUCUGUCUCUGGAGCUCUGUGGGUACACCUAGUCUCAGCUCUGAGCGGCUGGCUCUCCCGGGAGUUCUUCUCUGCUCUGCAGCAUCCUUCCCUUUCCGCGUCGGCAGGCUCUGCUUCUGGUCAGAUUUCACGGCUGCUGGAGCAGGGUCCUUCCACCUGUAGCACGGCGACUGCCUGGUUGUUUAAAGGCUCUGGAUGGCAGAAUCAAAGGAACAUUUUUCCAUGGAGUUAAGUCCACAGCAGUGCAAGAAUUACAUUGCAAGUAGACAGAGGACAGUUAAAGAUUGCGCCAAUUAACACCUACAUAGCACCUGGGGGUUCCAGUUGAUGUAUUUGGAGAACACAAGCUGGCCAAAACAUUUGUGAAAACUCUCUGGAGGAACUGAGGACCGUUUCAUUCUUACACCAAAGGAAGGACCAGGCCACUUAUCAAGCUCCUGCUGACACAGGUUGCUGCGGGCAACCAUGCUUCUUUGCCUACCCCCUGGAACUCAAUCACCACCUCACAUUUGCCUCAGUUCAGUUAAGGUCUUUCUUGGGUCCCCCUUCUCUGCAGGUCACAGCUGCAUCUGGAGUCUCAUGUGACAGACAAGGGGAGUGGGUGUGGGACUCUAAACAUUCCAUAUGGCAUGUGGCCUGGAAUAACUACACUAGUGUGUGGUGGGGACAAGGGGAUCCUUGGACGUCCUAAGACCAGCUUCACAAGGGCAUGGCGUGUCCACAUGCAUAAGAGCCCAGAUAGCUCCCUUCACUUGAGCCCUAACCGCAUCUUGGUAUCCUUGGGUAACCUUCUACCUUUAAUCACCAUCUGCAUCUAUCCUGUAUUAUGACUAACAUGUAACCACAUCUGGCAUAUUAUUCGCUAAUAAGCCCUUCCAGCCAAUCUGACUUCUCUCUCUUAAAAUGGUGACCCCUCCCUUACAGAGCAGGAAAACAAGGCCAGGUAGGUGGGGAAACUCGCCCAAGGCUUCACAGCUAACAAAUGAUGAGGUGGGGAUAGGGACCAAGGCCAUCUCUUAGAUCUCUCCCGUCUCCCUUGAUCUCUAGGCUCUGUCACUACAGGUCUUUUUAGAGUCUGAUGAUAGUGCUCCCCACUGCUCCCUGCCCUGGGGCAGAGGCUAGGAGAGGCCUCUGGAAUCUUAACUCUUGUCUGGACUUUGAGAACACCCACAAGACUGAUCCCACCCUCCGUGCCUGCCUUGAUUUUGCUUUAUUCUUCCCAUGCGAAUCAGCAGACUGGCUGGGCUUAAUGCUGUCUGUACCUUGGACUCACUUCUCUUUUCACUAAACUUUCCUUAAAGGUCCAGCUGGAGUCCCAGCUCCUCUAGGACACUGUCUUGAGUCUCCAGCCUCCUCUGAUUUUCCUUCUCCAAGAAAUCCCCCUGGCACUCUCUGGGCUCCUUAUACUUGGGAUACCUCCCCCAUGGCUGGGGACCAUUUCAUGUUUUCCUGUGGCUGUCACUGAUGCCCCGGUUAGUCUGCAGGGCCAACCUUACGCUUCCCUGUGUUUCUCACAAGGCUGAACGUGCAGCAGGAGCUCCAUAACCACGUGUCUGCUUUGCUGAUUUUUACAGAGACAGGUGAGAGGCCAGGCUGGGAUGGGAGAGGCUGAAAUGAGGCCCACAGCCUCAUUUGGAUUUUCUGGAGCUUACCUUUUCUCCCACCGCCGAGCUCUCCCCGUCACCUGCCUGAAGAGAGAAAAAGGGGGCGGACUCAGCCACAGCUGGGUGAGCGGUGGGAAAGGGCCGUCUGGGGCCGCUCAUGUGUGAUCUGAGCAUUUGAGAGAUCAGUCACCAUACAGUGCGGUCGCCUGGGCCUGCAAGGCAAUGGGGAAAGUGACAGACCGAAUCAGGUGGUCCACCCGGCCUGGAGGCCCCGGCAGCCUAGACAGCAAGUGAGAACGGUCUCCCGCAGGCAGCCAGGCUCGUCCUCUGCAGACCUUGUCUUUUUGUUAAAGGAGAGAGUACUGGAAAUGAAGAAGGAAGGAUGAUUGUGAAGACACGAAAUCCCAAAGGAAGAGACAGGUGGAGCAGCCAACACAGGGGAGUGGGUGGGGUGGUGGGUGGAAACGGGGGAGUGGGGGCAGGAGACGGAUCCACCGGAGGGGCCGUUCCCCGCUGGCCUGCCAUUGCAGCCGGCGUGCCUGCACAAAUCACUGGGUCCUGCGUGAUGCCAGACACCUGGCCCACCUGGCCGCUAAGAGGGGAGGAGAGAACGAGAACAGGAAGGAUGAGCAGAGGAAAAGAAGGCGGUUCCAAGAAGCCCGGCCAACAGCGCCUCCGAGCAUCUACUGCCCGAGUUUCCGGCCCUGCACGCGGUCCUAAGGUGGACGUUGGACCAGGGACCCAUCUUCUCCCAGGCUGAGGCGUCCGUAAGAAGUCCAUAAUGAGAUGAAAGGAUCACUUUGUAACAUUAAUCUUUUUUUAUUAAGAAGACAGAUAUUUUAUAGUACUUAUUUUUUUUUCUUUUUUUUUUGUAAAAAUGGUAUACAUGAACCAAUACAAAAUGCGAAUGGAACAUAUGGAUAUGGAAUUUCUUACACCGUCACAUCGUUCAUGUACACCUUAAAAACAGAACUGGCCUAAAGGGAAAAGUCAGACGUCGGUGUGACUAAAGAACAAGCUUAUUUGGCAUCAAUUAUACAUCCUUCAUUAUUUUAUAUUCCUUUAAAAAACACAAAAAACAAGUUUGUUCUUUCUUCACUCUAAAAAAAGUGAUCAACCUGUACAAAGUAAUACUCAACAAUACAUUUCAAACAGUGCACUGUAUACUUAAGAAAAAAAUACAUAAACCAAUAUACAACUAAAAUCCAUAAUUUCCUGUUUUUGCUUUGUUUUAUUAUUAUUAUUAUUAUUAUUACUUU